UACGGAGGGUGCAAGCGUUAAUCGGAAUUACUGGGCGUAAAGCGUGCGUAGGCGGUGAGUGAAGUCUGCUGUGAAAUCCCUGGGCUCAACCUGGGAAUGGCGGUGGAUACUGGCUUGCUAGAGUACGGUAGAGGAAGGUGGAAUUCCCGGUGUAGCGGUGAAAUGCGUAGAGAUCGGGAGGAACAUCAGUGGCGAAGGCGACCUUCUGGACCAGUACUGACGCUGAGGCACGGAAGCGUGGGGGGAGCAAACAGGAUUAGAUAUCCUGGUAGUCCACGCCCUAAACGAUGCGAACUGGAGGUUGGGUGCAACUUGGCACGCAGUCUCGAAGCUAACGCGUUAAGUUCGCCGCCUGGGGAGUACGGUCGCAAGACUGAAACU
RNAcentral lists this ribosomal RNA (381 nucleotides) under uncultured bacterium. Its description in RNAcentral is "bacterial SSU rRNA". It matches the Rfam family "Bacterial small subunit ribosomal RNA", at positions 524 to 901 of the family's 1533-position model. The record is from RNAcentral.